Molecule: RNA transcript, 2021 nt
Organism: Diospyros lotus (date-plum)
Lineage: Eukaryota; Viridiplantae; Streptophyta; Magnoliopsida; Ericales; Ebenaceae
Gene name: protein NUCLEAR FUSION DEFECTIVE 6, mitochondrial-like
Exons: 4
Source: RefSeq, a predicted model, not a curated record
UUAUGUCAUCAGUCAAACACGCCGCAAGGGUUCAGGGUUUAGCGCCCUCAGUCUCGAAUCAAAACCCUAAAACCUUUACCACGGGAACCAACACCAAAGCAGAGAGAUCCUUCACCUUGUCAACCAUGGCCGCCGCCGCCGCCGCCAGCAGAACACUUUUCCGAUCCCCUUCCGUCCGGAAGGCGGCGGCGAAAGUCGCCUCCGAAGCCAAAGCCGCCCGCUCUCCCUUCAGUUCCUCGACCAGAAAACCCCUCUCUCACCGAAUCUUCAGUUGUCCGGCUGAAAUGAGCGUUUGCGUCGGAUCCAUGCAACCAUUCCACACUGCCACUGCUUCGGCAUUGAUGACGUCGAUGCUCUCGAUUUCUCGCCGCACUUACGGCUGGCUUCCGGAAGGUAUCUAGCAAAACUUCAUAGGACCUUCCUUGAUGGUCUUUUCCCAACUUUUAAGUUUCUGCUUCAAAUGAUGGUGUGUAAUGAAUGUUCCGAGGAUUCAAGCAAAGUUUUAUUCACAAUAUUCUGCAUCCUAAGACUGACCGCUGAUAUAUUAGAGAUUAUGAAUGCCACAGAAGAGCCAACUUGGAUUUCCUACCCUUGUAACCUCGAUGAACUAUCAUUCUUCAAGACCUGCACCUCUUUUGUCUGAUAUUUGGUAACUGAUGUAGCUGGUACAUGCAUAAUGUAAUUCUAUUCAAGUAUUCUGUUGUUGGCAAUAAGGGCAUGAAAACUUCCUACUUACAUACAUGUAUUCAUUUAGCCAGCAAUGGUUGAUGGAUCAUGCCCUUUCCUGUUUCUCUGAUCAACUAGUAAAAUGCAUGUUUCUUUGUGAGUUGGUAGCUGCUAUAGUUUUAGCCAGGUGGUAGUUAAUCAAGUGAAGCAUCUCUAUUGUUAUUUGCUCCAUUGUUUUCCUUUCCAAAUUUAUUGAUAAGAGUUUCUGGAAGUACGCCCAAGGUGAGUGUGGUCUUUGUCUUAAUAGGGGGGUUUAUAAGGGAGGAUUAGAUCAGGAUGACUUUGCCUCAAACCCGACUCAAUCCUUUGUUUUCCUUGUUGCAUUUAUAUCUAGUUUUAUUGGACAAAUUCUAGGGUAUCCAAGGAUACAAAUGCUUGCUCUUCUUACGUAAUCACCACUCCCUUCGUGUUGUACCACAGUGCUGCCCCUUCGCGGCGUUGUGCAUCCCCUUCGAGUGGUACCACAAAUUUUAGUAAUUUAUUGACUUAAUUUUCUAUUUAAACCCCCGAGGAACCCUUGGGUACCCUAGGGUAGUGAUAUUCAAAUAUCAUAGGUCGAACGGGGUGAAUUCCCAUUUGCCCUCCCUACACCACACACACACUGAACAAGGUGAAUUCUCCGUUCAGGCCCUCUUUGCACAACACACAACAUUGUGUGCGCACUCUGUAGGGAGGGGUCGAACUAGAAAUUCACUCUGUUCGAACUAGGGUUUCUAGUUUGAAUUUGGAUUGGAAAUAAUUUUCAUACAGUAUAAUAUCAGAACAUUUUAAUCUCAUUAGGGAAAGUCGGUUACAUAAGUUUUAAAUGUCUAGCUGCUUAGAUCUGUGUCUAUGUUCACUAGAUUGAGGAAUUAUCUAAACCCUUUUAGUGUCGAAGGAGCUUCUCUUAUCAUGGUUAAUUUUAAGAAGGAUUACAUUAGACAACUAAAAUGGACUUAAAUAUAAGACUUGGCAAGUAAAAGUAUGAUCAAUCCAAUUUUCUUUAUUAAACUCACGAUCCUAAUAGUGUUAUUAAACUCAGGAAUCUAUUCUGUAUUAAUAUUGGGCAGUUGAGUUGUUUAUGAGUAAUGACCUGCCUUUUCUUUGACCUUCAAUCCCUCCAACGGCUGCCCCACAAGCCAUCCUAUGUUCUCUACAUUGCUGCCAUCAUGGCCCUCUACUAGAUGUCCACGGCCUGUCGUUCUUCAACAUCAUCUUUGAUGUUAGCUUAAUUGGUAUAUCAAAUCUAGAAAGGGGAGAGGGAGAUUGAAGAGACGAUGAAGGACAAGGAGAUAUCGGUGGCGGCAAUGGUGGCG